GAUAGCUGGUUCUCUCCGAAAUAUAUUUAGGUAUAGCGUUGUGUCGUAAUAUAAGGGGGUAGAGCACUGAAUGGGCUAGGGCAUACACCAAUGUACCAAACCCUAUCAAACUCCGAAUACCUUAUAUGUAAUCACAGCAGUCAGGCGGCGAGUGAUAAAAUCCGUCGUCAAGAGGGAAACAACCCAGACUACCAGCUAAGGUCCCUAAAUCUUACUUAAGUGGAAAACGAUGUGAAGUUACUUAAACAACCAGGAGGUUGGCUUAGAAGCAGCCAUCCUUUAAAGAAAGCGUAAUAGCUCACUGGUCUAGUGAUUUUGCGCGGAAAAUAUAACGGGGCUAAAGUAAGUACCGAAGCUGUAGACUUGCACACAACUUAGAUUAUUUAAGUUUAGAAUAUGAGAAACUAAGUUAUAUGUUUAGUUAUAUUUUUACUGAUUUUUAUAGAGUAAAGAUAGAAAUAAAACUUAGUAAAAUCAGUAAAAAUAUUCUUAGACUAAAGUUAAGUAGUUUAAGUUGUGUGCAAGUGGUAGGAGAGCGUUCUAUUUGCGUCGAAGGUAUACCGGUAAGGAGUGCUGGAGCGAAUAGAAGUGAGCAUGCAGGCAUGAGUAGCGAUAAUUAAUGUGAGAAUCAUUAACGCCGUAAACCCAAGGUUUCCUACGCGAUGCUCGUCAUCGUAGGGUUAGUCGGGUCCUAAGUCGAGUCCGAAAGGGGUAGACGAUGGCAAAUUGGUUAAUAUUCCAAUACCAACAUUAGUGUGCGAUGGAAGGACGCUUAGGGCUAAGGGGGCUAGCGGAUGGAAGUGCUAGUCUAAGGUCGUAGGAGGUUAUACAGGCAAAUCCGUAUAACAAUACUCCGAGAACUGAAAGGCUUUUUGAAGUCUUCGGAUGGAUAGAAGAACCCCUGAUGCCGUCGAGCCAAGAAAAGUUUCUAAGUUUAGCUAAUGUUGCCCGUACCGUAAACCGACACAGGUGGGUGGGAUGAGUAUUCUAAGGCGCGUGGAAGAACUCUCUUUAAGGAACUCUGCAAAAUAGCACCGUAUCUUCGGUAUAAGGUGUGGUUAGCUUUGUAUUAGGAUUUACUCCGAAAGCAAGGAAACUUACAACAAAGAGUCCCUCCCGACUGUUUACCAAAAACACAGCACUCUGCUAACUCGUAAGAGGAUGUAUAGGGUGUGACGCCUGCCCGGUGCUCGAAGGUUAAUUGAUGGGGUUAGCAUUAGCGAAGCUCUUGAUCGAAGCCCGAGUAAACGGCGGCCGUAACUAUAACGGUCCUAAGG
RNAcentral lists this ribosomal RNA (1277 nucleotides) under Campylobacter jejuni. RNAcentral's name for it is "partial 23S ribosomal RNA". It matches the Rfam family "Bacterial large subunit ribosomal RNA", at positions 844 to 1956 of the family's 2925-position model. Lineage: Bacteria; Pseudomonadati; Campylobacterota; Epsilonproteobacteria; Campylobacterales; Campylobacteraceae. The record is from RNAcentral.